Long non-coding RNA from Malaya genurostris, 1045 nucleotides. RefSeq lists it as uncharacterized. The record is from RefSeq and is a predicted model, not a curated record. The transcript has 4 exons. NCBI's taxonomy places the organism in Eukaryota, Metazoa, Arthropoda, Insecta, Diptera, Culicidae.
UUUAGUUACCACUUAAGCGACUGUCCCAAUUCGAUCAUCGUAGCAAUCCGCCACCGCUACCACCAGAGCCGUUGUCAUCACGGUGGUGCGGCAUUACGUUGCAUUGGUGAAAAUGCAUCGUAUCGUGCAUCAGUUACUUGCUUUUCAGUAUUGACUUUCUUGGCAGUCAGUGUCUGUGGUUCUGGUGGAGUGCGGAUGAGUACGGUGGAGAAGUGGAACGCGGGCUUCAGCGAACAGGCAAAGAAGCAAGCAAACCAGCAACCAGAGUAUCAAAUUACCAAAUCAUUUUUGCUGUUGUUGCUGCCGUUGGUAGAUUUGUGUUAGGUGCCGCUUGCAGUGCCCCGGCUGAGUCAGUCAUAAAAAAUAAGAAGUGCUGAUAUGCUCGAGGUAGAUCUAGAUCGUGGUCUGUUAGCUGCUCAUAGAAAUGGAUAAUUGAUGUAAUUUCAGCAGAAUGAAACCUCCGCUAGUGGCAAAAUGUAUGCUGGUACUUGCUCAGUAGAAAGCUAAACCAAGAAAACAUGCAGUUUACAAAAAAAAAAGAUUACUAUCGAUGAUAUCAGGGAAGAGCUACAGGAAAAUAUUGGAUGAAAAAGGUGAAAUCUGGCUAUUGGUUGAACUCAUGGAAGAGAAAGGAGUCUAACAUAAAAUAAUUUUAAAUUGGAACUCCAAUGGACUUAAUGAAAUGAUAAAGAAGUUUCAUGUAAGGAAGGUCACGACAAGCAAGAAUUUCACGAACCUGGACAUUGGACAGUCUACCUUGGGAAUAAUUAAGUGCAUCCACCCACUCAGAUCAUCUUUAUCCCAAGAAUCGGUCUCUCAUAUAUUUCACCUUUGGCUAAAAUAUCGGCUCUUUCAUUGCAUGAAAUGGAGUAAUUAGCCGGAAGCCACUGGACAAGGAAGAGGAAGACUUGGACACCAUUUGAUUCCAACAAGACGGCGCUCCGUGCCACACAGCCAACGCUAUGAUCGAUCUUCUGCGCACAGUCUUCGAAAAUCGAAUUAUCAGUCUAAAUUCGGAUGUCGUUUGGCCGCCUCGGAGCUGUGA